RNAcentral lists this non-coding RNA (1962 nucleotides) under Cryptosporidium parvum. The record is from RNAcentral. Lineage: Eukaryota; Apicomplexa; Conoidasida; Eucoccidiorida; Cryptosporidiidae.
AAAACCUUCAUUAAUACUUUUAUUGUUGAACACUAUUGGAUUAAAUAGACUGGCAGUUGGUGGAACUAAAUUAACUGAGGAUGCUGGAAAAUGAGUAAAAUUAUCUUCAUUAUAAUUAAAAUUGGGAUUUUGUAUUAUUUCUUGGUCAAAUCUUUUUAUUUGAUUACUUGGUGGGAAUUGACCAAUUUUAGAAUUUGGAAUAGACCCUCCUAUUAUAGAAGAAGGAGCUGAAAUAGGAACUGAAUUUGAGGCUAAGUUUGGAGCAGAACCUAAAUCUUGGUUAAUAUUCUUACUAGUAUCCACUGUUUUUCUAUCUUCUAAUUGAUUGGAUUCAUCUUUCUUGUUCUCGCCUUCCUGAUCAUUGUUUUCUCUAAAUGUUGGAGGGGAAUCUACUUGUGAAACCUGGUUUUCAGAUGAAUUAAUAGGUUUACUUAAUAUACUUAGGUUCACAGAAUGGAAAACUAAGUUAUCAUUCUUGUUGGCUUGUAACAUAGAAUUGUAAGCUUCUUGAGGUAUUAAAAAGUUCUGGUUCUUUCUUAAAUGUCUUAUACAAUUAUCAGUUAUUCUAAAAUAAUGAUCAAAAUCAAAAUCUAUACUUUUGUCUCCUCCAAAUGGAGAACAAAAAUAUUCAGAAACAGUCCCAGCUCCUCCUGAAUGAAUAGUUAAUUCUGGAUUUUGAUCUAAAUGAGCAAGAAUUGAAGUUUUCAGGCAUGAGAUGUACUCUCUAACUCUUGCUAGAAUUGUUUUAUAUGAAAGUUCAUUCCUUGGUCUUCCUUGUUGUAAUAUUCCAGUAGCAAUAUCACUAAUAGCUUUACAAAAUGACCAGGUAAAAACUCCAUGAAUUAUAUUAUAAGCUCCACCUCUAGAUAUUGGAAUCUCUAUUACACCUAAUUUAGAUUCUGUUGUAGAUGAAAGUAAUCCAGAACUAUUAAAUGAUUGAGAAUUAGGAGUAGAAAUUGGACCAUUUGAUAAACCCAUUGAAGAAUCUGUUACUUGAGUCUUUCUAGUAACUGAUAACAAAGGUAAUGAGGCUUCAGCAGCUAUUUGACUCCAUGGAGCAGCAGAAAAACAAUAUCCUUUACAUGAUAAAGAUACAUAUUGUGUAGAUUGAAGACUUGGAUCUUUUAAGUUUUGUGUAUUACCAAUUUGAACACAAGGAACAUAUCUUGGUCUUACAAGUCUAUGAACCAUUUGUUCGUCUUUAAAUACUGAUGAAUUAUAUUGUGCUCUUUUAACUUUAUUAGUAGCUGAAAGAAAUGGCCAAAUUCCUUUUGUUACUAUACCUUUAAUAUACCACAUACCAUUCAAAUUACCAGCUGGAUCUAAAAUAGUCUGACCUCCAUUACAAUCUAAAAUUACAUUCAAUUGAGUUUCAGGAGGAACACACAAUAAUAAUUCUUUAAGUUCACUGCAAAGUAAUACAUUAUAUUCAUCUAAAUCUGAACCAUUUGAAGCUAAGUAUAAUGUAGAAUCUGCUGGAAGUAGUGCUUCAUCAUAUCCUUCUCCUUCAUAUGAUGUUAGAACAUCUACUUGUACUCCAUGUCCUGCAAAAUAAAAUACAAGAAUAUCACCAGCUUCUGCAUCUCUAGUUAACCAAUUUAUUGCUGUUAAAAUAUUUCUUUUAUUUGGAUAUAUUCUGGAAUCAUGAUGUUUUGUUGGUGGAAUUUCAUCUCUUGGCCAGUUAUCAUAGAAUGAAAUUGGUUCUUGAGAAUCAACUAAAGUAUCAUAACCUCUAUCUGGUUCACUAUCAGUUAGAAAGAUUAUAUCUGAUGCAUUGAAAUCAAAGUGAGACAUUAAUGUCAAAGCCAUUAACUUUGCAUCAUUUGCACAACCUCUUAAACUAAUUCCUUCUGUUUCCACAUAAUUAAUUCCAAUAAUGACUGCUUUUUUCUUAGGGAUAUGCCCAUUCAUUUUUUUUUAAUUUCCUAUUAAAAUAAUUUUUGUAAAUACGAUAACAUGCAC